Molecule: ribosomal RNA, 215 nt
Filed under: uncultured bacterium
Lineage: Bacteria
Description: partial 16S ribosomal RNA
Rfam family: Bacterial small subunit ribosomal RNA
Source: RNAcentral
UACGUAGGGUGCAAGCGUUGUCCGGAAUUAUUGGGCGUAAAGAGCUCGUAGGCGGUCUGUCGCGUCGGCUAUGAAAACCCGGAGCUCAACUCCGGGCCUGCAGUCGAUACGGGCAAACUGGAGUACUGCAGGGGAGACUGGAAUUCCUGGUGUAGCGGUGAAAUGCGCAGAUAGUCAGGAGGAACACCGGUGGCGAAGGCGGGGUCUCUGGGGCA